Molecule: ribosomal RNA, 220 nt
Filed under: uncultured bacterium
Lineage: Bacteria
Description: partial 16S ribosomal RNA
Rfam family: Bacterial small subunit ribosomal RNA
Source: RNAcentral
CGAUGUGGGGAAUAACCCCUCGAAAGAGGAGCUAAUACCGCAUAAGCUGUACAAUGUGGGUUGUACAGGAAAUGCCACCUUUAUCGCAAGAUGAGGGAGGUAGCAACAGGAGGGAUCUGCGGCGGAUUAGCUAGAUGGUGGGGUAAAGGCCUACCAUGGCGACGAUCCGUAGCUGGUCUGAGAGGACGACCAGCCACACUGGGACUGAGACACGGCCCAG